Myiozetetes cayanensis is the source of this 247-nucleotide long non-coding RNA. RefSeq lists it as uncharacterized. NCBI's taxonomy places the organism in Eukaryota, Metazoa, Chordata, Aves, Passeriformes, Tyrannidae. The transcript has 3 exons. The record is from RefSeq and is a predicted model, not a curated record.
GUCUCGCUAGAUCCACAGCACCUGAAGGAGCCAGUAUCUAUCUCCUCGAUGACCUGACUGCAGCUGCUGGGGCAGACAGCAUGCAUGGCCUGCUGUUCUCUGUCAAAGCCAUCAAUUAGUGACGCUGAACGAGCCCAGGUCCCUCAGCAUCCCUCAUAUGCUCACCGCCCUGGGACCAACAUGCUGGACCACUGUGCUGGGCCCCACAUCGCUCCCUGCCCACCCCAGCUGUGUGAAGAAAACCCAG